Molecule: long non-coding RNA, 2396 nt
Organism: Tympanuchus pallidicinctus (lesser prairie-chicken)
Lineage: Eukaryota; Metazoa; Chordata; Aves; Galliformes; Phasianidae
Exons: 2
Source: RefSeq, a predicted model, not a curated record
GUUUAUUUUUCUACUGAGGAAAAUACUGAAGAAAAAAACUGAGGAUUUGUGUUACUGCUUGCACUGCUCAUAUACUUCAUACAGCAACCUCAAGUGCCUGACUGAGAUUUGAGAUCAUACCUACAGCAAAAUGAUUGUUGUAAAAUGAAUCUUGAGAGGGAUUUAGGGAGGAGGCCAACUUCAGAAGAUUUAAACAGACUUCUCAGAAGUGUAAGAUAUACUGUCUUAACUAGGGUGUUUCUUUUUUGUUUCUUUCUGAACGUAACAUGAUUUAAACUCCAGUUCAUGUGUAUUAUGGACUGCUUAAAAUCCAAAGAACUGAACCUUGCCUUCAGCCAUUUUCAAAAUGUUAUGUGGAGCAGCAUUUUUGGAGGCGUCUAUUUAGAGAAGUUUGGGGACACUUCUGAGCAUGUAACACCAGGGAGUGGUCAUUGGGUCAUAGCCCUCAGUAGCGAUCGGUUCCUUGUGCUGUUACAUCUUCCCUUUAGGACAGCAUAGUGCAUACCACGUGUUCUCCCCAACUGAGAAUUUUCCUGGUUAAACCAGGAGGGGGAGCUUUUAUUCCACACAAUAAAGUGCACGGUGUAGUGGUGCCUCUCAUCUAAGGGAAACUACUAUUUUGUAAUUGAAAUAGAAGAUCAGUGGUACUGGAUUGUGAGCUGAAAACAAGAAAAAUGCUUACAUUAGUGAGAGAAUGAAGAGAGUUCAGAGCACAAAUCAUUACAAAGAGUUAGGAAGUGUGAAGGCAACAAUAGAGCAUCACUAGUAGGACAAAUUCUUAUCUGCAUAUGGCUGUACCAUAGAAAAUACAUCCAGAAUGCUGUAUUUUCAGAAACAUAAGACUUUAGUAAAGUAUGUUUUUGUCUUUAAUAUUUGUGUUUGUAUAUUACUUGAUUUUUUUGCAUGCAUUAUUAUUUUUUAUGAAACUUACUCAUCUUCCUUCUGCUCAUGUAUAAGUUGUAGUCUUUGAAAGGUUGAGAAAAUUCCUCUUGUUCCCCCGUGAGCAGUUUGUUUCUCUUUGUUGUCAGUUUUGUUUCUUUAUUCUCUAAAGCAACAUCACAAAAAAAAAAUAAAUCUCAGAGCAUUCAUUCUCUUGAAAAUGAAAAUAUAGUAACAAAAAAGAGUAAAGUUAGAGGAAAAAAAUCACAUAGAAAUGGUGAAGCUAUAAAAAUUAAAGAUAAGUGUUAAGACUUAAAUGGUUCAGUCCAAAAAUAUAACAUACAUGACAUUCUCUGUGAAUUGCCCAAUUAUUUGAAUUACAGAUUUUAAGUUCUUAUUGCACUAGGCACUUUAAAUGUAUGGCCUUGUGAUUACUGUACAUAGGAACACUGGAGUUGAUAGGUAAUGCUAUAUUUGUUGGUAAGCUUUAUUUGUGACCAAACAGUGGCUUUUCCUUUGCACCUACUCUUGGUGAGUAAGACUCAGGAAUUGCAGUAGUCUCUUCUGGCCUUUAUAGGAUUAUCACUGGAAUAUAGGGAGAUAUUUGUGAGUGAUGCAGUGAAUGUCAGCUGAUGGGUUUGGAAGGAACAUAUCUUCAGGACUUGAGCAGUGCUUUGAAAAACAUGUAAUUCAGAUUUAUUUCAUGGUGCAACUUCAACACCUACCUUGAUUUUUUUUUCCCAGUUUUUUAAUGCUGAAAAGAUAAAUAUUAUGGAAUAUUACCAGCCUUGCAAAAUGGUGCUUGACUGUUGGAAGCAAACUGCUUUUGCUGAACGAACCAAAUCAUAGAUCUUCCAAAUUAGUGUAAUAGUGGACAAAUUCCAUUUGUCUGUGGAAGAUAAAGUGCUUAGAAUUGUGCUGCUUUUAUUCCUUUUUUCUUUUUUUCCCCUUAGUGAAGCAGAAUUGAAAUGAUAGAUUUCCAGAAUGUAAGUUCCAUAAACUUUUCAGAUACAUUUUUUUCUCAGUGUUGGGUAAAAUGAAACCUCAAGGAAAAGACAGUCUUUUUAUCUGAAUACUUUAUAUUGUCCUCCUAGGCAGUUGUUGUUAACUCACUUAGCUUAUUGCUUGUACCUUUGGAAGGUGUUUGUCCCUCGUUUUCCUUUGCCAAUUCAUGAUGCUGUAUAAUUGCAAGAGAUUGCAAGAAUUGCCAGUUUGACAUUGUGGGGGACAGUGAUAUGCCCAGACCCUCAUCUGUGCUCUGAAGGUAGGAAAAAUAGACACUGUGAUGGAAGGCCUGUUGCCACUGUCAUUCUCUUAGUAGUCAUCACUGGAUGCAAUGAUUUUCUGUUUAAUCCUUUAUAUACAUCUAUCUAAUGUAGGAUAGGUCAAAGGGCAGACCAUAUAGACUAUUUAAAUAUCUGUGCACCUUCUUUGUAAACACAAUUUAGCUAGUACUGGCUGUGAUCUAAAAGCUCUAGGUUCAUACUUUCCUUUUUUUUUUUUUCUUUUUUUUUUUU